Molecule: long non-coding RNA, 980 nt
Organism: Dama dama (fallow deer)
Lineage: Eukaryota; Metazoa; Chordata; Mammalia; Artiodactyla; Cervidae
Exons: 5
Source: RefSeq, a predicted model, not a curated record
CAGGUGUGGAGACACCGAGGUAGAGACCCAGCCUGGGCAGGUUCUGGAAAGAAUGUGAAUACCAGUGCUGACGGGGUGAAGGGGGAGAGGGCACCUAGGAGCAGCAGCCACACUUGGGGGCAGAUUCGUUACUGUCUGAGCCACCAUGGAGUAAAAUAAACCAGGAUUUUAUGACCGUAUCAUAAAACAUCUUUCUGCUGCCUGCUUCUGCCUGGAAUCCGGCAUGGAGGUCUGGGUCUGUGUUGCAUGUUCUCUGGACUGAUGGUCAGAGCUCUGUGGACCCGUUGGCCUGCCUUGACUGAUCACAGAAAAAGCUGUUUUUUCACCUUCUGGGCCAAACAUCACCAGAAAGGCCCACUUUAGAAAAGAAGACAACUCUGUAUCUACAGCAGCAUUUUCAAAAUCGCUUCAGUCAUGUCCAGCUCUUCAUGACCCUAUGGACCAGCCAGGCUCCUCUAUCCUUGGGAUCCUCCAGGCAAGAAUACUGGAGUGGGUUGCCAUGUCCUCCUCCAAGGAUCUUCCCAACCCAGGGAUUGAACCUGUGUCUCCUGCAUCUGCUGCAUUGCAGGUUCUGGUCCUCUGGAGAACCCUCAGGAAUGUAUGUGUUACCAGCUAUGCAGAAGUAUUGUGAAGACCCAGCAAUCCCACUUCUGGGCAUACACACUGAGGAAACCAGAUCUGAAAGAGACACGUGCACCCCAAUGUUCAUCGCAGCACUGUUUAUAAUAGCCAGGACAUGGAAGCAACCUAGAUGCCCAUCAGCAGAUGAAUGGAUAAGGAAGCUGUGGUACAUAUACACCAUGGAAUAUUACUCAGCCAUUAAAAAGAAUUCAUUUGAACCAGUCCUAAUGAGAUGGAUGAAGCUGGAGCCCCUUAUACAGAGUGAAGUAAGCCAGAAAGAUAAAGAACAUUACAGCAUACUGACACAUGUAUAUGGAAUUUAGAAAGGUGAUAACGAUAACCCUAUAUGCAGAACAGAA